UACGUAGGGGGCAAGCGUUGUCCGGAUUUAUUGGGCGUAAAGCGCUCGCAGGUGGCCCGAUGCGUCGUGCGUGAAAGACCCCGGCUCAACUGGGGAGUGUCGUGCGAUACGGUCGGGCUGGAGGCCAGUAGGGGGAUGCGGAAUUCCGGGGUGUAGUGGGUGGAAUGCGUAGAGAUCCGGAGGAACACCAGCGGCGAAGGCGGCAUCCUGGACUGGUCCUGACACUCAG
Molecule: ribosomal RNA, 229 nt
Filed under: uncultured bacterium
Lineage: Bacteria
Description: partial 16S ribosomal RNA
Rfam family: Bacterial small subunit ribosomal RNA
Source: RNAcentral